This 1465-nucleotide long non-coding RNA is filed under the name Strigops habroptila (Kakapo). Its description in RNAcentral is "lncRNA (ENSSHBG00005007152.1)". The record is from RNAcentral. Lineage: Eukaryota; Metazoa; Chordata; Aves; Psittaciformes; Psittacidae.
UCGUGAAAAAUUAGUUUAAUGGUUAAUAGUUUACAUAUUAAAAAAGAUAUUUCUAUCUAUUCGCUAAAGAGAUGCUAAUUUUGGUAAAGACAAUUAUAGGCAGCUGGAACCCUGGUCUUCCUAAAUGCACGGUAAAGGCUCACUUGAAACUAUGUAACCAAACCCAGUGGUGUUGGAUUUCCUAUUUGUCACCUUCCUAAAACUUCUAAAAGUCCUAACUCUAGCUUCUUCUUUUUCCCAAAACAAAAAAACAAAACCACACACACACACACACAAAAAAAAAAAAAAAAAAAAGGAAAGAAAAAAGACCCCACUUCCAGAAAAAAAAAAAAACCCAAACCGGGAGGAGCCGGGGGGGAGGGGGGAAGCCAACCAAAUGACCGACCCGCGUGCAUUUGAAACAAAACGCGUGUUCUACACUUGAAAGCAGAGCUCGGGGUGCUGCCCCGACUUCCCAUUUCAAAGCACAGCCACCGUUUCUCGCCGGCGGGCAGGCAGGACGCGCAGCAAAGCCGCUGGAGCCACUCUGCCACCCCCGCUCCCCCUCCUUUGGUUGGUCGCGUUACGCCGCGGCAGCCCCACGCAGGACCGCGCCGGCCCGCGCGCGCCGCUCCCGCUGAAGUUUGACCGCAUGGGAAGCCCGUCGUGUUUCCUACACGAUUCCUAUCGAAAUGGGCUCUUCCCAAGGCGGAGGGAGGGCGGGCGGGCGGGCGGGAGGCAAAGGAGGCUUUCCGGCUGCCUUCUCAGGACAGGGGUCUCUGCUCAGCGUUCCCGCCAAAAUCCUCUCAUCUCCAGUUUGGGCGCCAAACCCGCCUUCCCUUUCCGCCGCCGCGAAGCGCCCGGCUCGAGGGCGGGGGUCGCCCGGGCCCGGCGGGCUUCCCUUUCGGCAGCGGCCGCGUCGCUCGGGGCGGGCUGGCCGUUUCCGAUCGCUCCUCGCCCGUCGGGGCGCCGAGGAGGGCGAAAGCCGGGCACCCGCCGGGCGCGAGGCCGGGCUCUGUCAGUGCCCGCGGGCGCGGCGGGUCCGUCCCCGCGACCCUCCCCCGGCGCGGGGCUUCGCCCUCGUUCCUCUGUUCGACACGUCAUAAAAUGCGGGAAUGUGACGACGAGCCCUCUCGCGCAUUUUGGGGAGCAGGGUCGGUCGUGCGUUGCCACCGCCCGGUUCUCCCCUUUCCCCUGUUUCGGGCUUGCUGCCCCCCGUAUUAUUCCCGCAGGAUUAUUUGAAGAUAUUUUUUAACGAAACACAGCUCCGACCCAGCUGCGCGCUUCCCAUGGCUAGGAACGGUGAGGGACGGAUUUGCUCGACGUGCAUCUGCGGAGUAUGAAGUUACCGGUGUUAUAACGGUGCCUUCGCGCCGCCCCGUCCCGAACGACGGCUCUUUUCAGGAAUCACCGUGCUAACGCGCAGCGGGCGCCCCUCUCUCCGCCUCUCACACCCCCCCCGCCAAUUGGAGCCGUUGGGAACCCC